AAACCAACAGGGAUUGCCUUAGUAGCGGCGAGUGAAGCGGCAAGAGCUCAAAUUUGAAAUCUGGUACCUUCGGUGCCCGAGUUGUAAUUUGAAGAAAGCUGUCUUGGAGUUGGCCUUUGUCUAUGUUCCUUGGAACAGGACGUCACAGAGGGUGAGAAUCCCGUGCGAUGAGGUGUCCAAUUCUUUAUAAGACGUUUUCGAAGAGUCGAGUUGUUUGGGAAUGCAGCUCAAAGUGGGUGGUAAAUUCCAUCUAAAGCUAAAUAUUGGCGAGAGACCGAUAGCGAACAAGUACUGUGAAGGAAAGAUGAAAAGAACUUUGAAAAGAGAGUGAAAAAGUACGUGAAAUUGUUGAAAGGGAAGGGUAUUCAAUCAGACUUGGUAUUUAGUUAUCAUUACUCCUUGUGGGUGGUGCUCUAGCUUUUUACUGGGCCAGCAUCAGUUUUGGUGGCAAGAUAAUCGCAGUUGAAUGUAGCUCCUAGAGUAUUAUAGCAACUGUUGAUAUUGCCUACUGGGACUGAGGUCUGCGGCUUUUGCCUAGGAUGCUGGCGUAAUGAUUGAAUACCGCCCGUCUUG
This 573-nucleotide ribosomal RNA is filed under the name Ogataea ganodermatis. RNAcentral's name for it is "eukaryotic LSU rRNA". It matches the Rfam family "Eukaryotic large subunit ribosomal RNA", at positions 62 to 656 of the family's 3401-position model. The record is from RNAcentral. Lineage: Eukaryota; Fungi; Ascomycota; Pichiomycetes; Pichiales; Pichiaceae.